CCUACGGGCGGCAGCAGUGAGGAAUAUUGGUCAAUGGACGAGAGUCUGAACCAGCCAAGUAGCGUGAAGGAUGACUGCCCUAUGGGUUGUAAACUUCUUUUAUAAAGGAAUAAAACGAGGCACGUGUGCCUUUUUGCAUGUACUUUAUGAAUAAGGAUCGGCUAACUCCGUGCCAGCAGCCGCGGUAAUACGGAGGUUCCGAGCGUUAUCCGGAUGUAUUGGGUUUAAAGGGAGCGUAGAUGGGUUGUUAAGUCAGUUGUGAAAGUUUGCGGCUCAACCGUAAGAUUGCAAUUGAUACUGGCAGUCUUGAGUACAGUUGAGGUAGGCGGAAUUCGUGGUGUAGCGGUGAAAUGCUUAGAUAUCACGAAGAACCCCGAUUGCGAAGGCAGCUUACUAAACUGUGACUGACAUUGAUGCUCGAAAGUGUGGGUAUCAAACAGGAUUAGAUACCCGAGUAGUC
This 460-nucleotide ribosomal RNA is filed under the name uncultured bacterium. RNAcentral describes it as "partial 16S ribosomal RNA". It matches the Rfam family "Bacterial small subunit ribosomal RNA", at positions 338 to 795 of the family's 1533-position model. The record is from RNAcentral.